RNAcentral lists this ribosomal RNA (791 nucleotides) under uncultured archaeon. Its description in RNAcentral is "bacterial SSU rRNA". It matches the Rfam family "Archaeal small subunit ribosomal RNA", at positions 54 to 853 of the family's 1478-position model. The record is from RNAcentral.
CGAGUCAACGUAGCAAUACGUGGCACACGGCUCAGUAACACGUAGUCAACAUAACCAAAGGACGUGGAUAAACUCGGGAAACUGAGGCUAAACCGCGAUAGAUCAAGAUACCUGGAAUGGUUUUUGAUCAAAAUCUAUAUGGCCUUUGGAUUGGACUGCGUCCGAUCAGGCCGUUGGUGAGGUAAUGGCCCACCAAACCUGUAACCGGUACGGGCUCUGAGAGGAGGAGCCCGGAGAUGGGUACUGAGAAAAGGACCCAGGCCCUAUGGGGCGCAGCAGGCGCGAAACCUCUGCAAUAGGCGAAAGCCUGACAGGGUUACUCUGAGUGAUUUCCGCUAAGGAAGUCUUUUGACACCUCUAAAAAUGGUGUAGAAUAAGGGGUGGGCAAGUCUGGUGUCAGCCGCCGCGGUAAUACCAGCACCCCGAGUGGUCGGGACGAUUAUUGGGCCUAAAGCAUCCGUAGCCGGUUUUACAAGUCCUCCGUUAAAUCCAACUGCUUAACAGAUGGGCUGCGGAGGAUACUAUAAGACUAGGAGGCAGGAGAGGCAAGCGGUACUCAGUGGGUAGGGGUAAAAUCCGUUGAUCCAUUGAAGACCACCAGUGGCGAAGGCGGCUUGCCAGAAUGCGCUCGACGGUGAGGGAUGAAAGCUGGGGGAGCAAACCGGAUUAGAUACCCGGGUAGUCCCAGCUGUAAACGAUGCAGACUCGGUGAUGGACUAGCUUUAUGCUAGUCCAGUGCCGCAGGGAAGCCGUUAAGUCUGCCGCCUGGGUAGUACGGUCGCAAGACUGAA